This 433-nucleotide ribosomal RNA is filed under the name uncultured bacterium. RNAcentral describes it as "partial 16S ribosomal RNA". It matches the Rfam family "Bacterial small subunit ribosomal RNA", at positions 29 to 507 of the family's 1533-position model. The record is from RNAcentral.
AAUGAACGCUGGCGGCAUGCCUAACACAUGCAAGUCGAACGACACCUCCGGGUCAAGUGGCGCUCGGGUGCGUCACGCGUGGGACUCUGGCCGUGGGCUCGGCAUAACAGUUAGAAAUUACUGCUAAUACCGGGUGAUGUCUUCGAACCCAACAUUCAUCCCCCUGGGGUGAGCCGGCGUAGUAUUCGCUGGUUGGGGGGGUAAUGGCCGACCAAGGCGUCGAUCCUUAGCGGGGCAGAGAGGAUGGGCACCGACACUGGGGCUGGGACACGGCCCGGACUCCUGCGGGAUGCAGCAAUGGGGAAUACUGGACUAUGGGCUCAAGCCUGAGGCAGCAAUGCUGCGAGAGCCCUUUAGGCCUUAGGGAUGUGAAGCACUUUUACCCGGGAUGAUAAUGACAGUACCGGGAGAAUAAGCUCCGGCUAACUUCGUG